UGCCAGCCGCCGCGGUAAUACGGAGGGUGCGAACGUUAAUCGGAAUUACUGGGCGUAAAGCGCGCGUAGGCGGUUUGCUAAGUGGGAUGUGAAAGCCCUGGGCUUAACCUGGGAACUGCAUUCCAAACUGGCAAACUAGAGUAUGGUAGAGGGAGGUAGAAUUUCCUGUGUAGCGGUGAAAUGCGUAGAUAUAGGAAGGAAUACCGAUGGCGAAGGCAGCCUCCUGGACCAAUACUGACGCUGAGGUGCGAAAGCGUGGGGAGCAAACAGGAUUAGAUA
RNAcentral lists this ribosomal RNA (279 nucleotides) under uncultured bacterium. RNAcentral describes it as "partial 16S ribosomal RNA". It matches the Rfam family "Bacterial small subunit ribosomal RNA", at positions 506 to 784 of the family's 1533-position model. The record is from RNAcentral.